This is a non-coding RNA of Oryzias melastigma (Indian medaka), 802 nucleotides long. NCBI's taxonomy places the organism in Eukaryota, Metazoa, Chordata, Actinopteri, Beloniformes, Adrianichthyidae. The record is from the annotation of a RefSeq genome assembly.
GGUCCCAGCCGGGAGUCGAACCGGGGCCUUCUCGCUGUGAGGCGAGAGCGCUAACCACUGCGCCACCGUGCAGCCCUCUAGUAAUACAUUUUAGGGAUAAAUCCAUGAGCUACUAUCAGAAGAUACAUGUUAAAAAAAAAAACAAAUAUCUGGUUUGGUUACUUUAACCACUAGGGGGCAGUGUUCGCCCACUAAAUCUGCAUCUUCUCACAUGUUUCCUCAGAUCAGUGGAUCUCAGCCUGCAGAGACACACCUCCCUGCAGACUUCAUCUCUUUAACUGCAUCCAGACAUAACAGACACUUUUCCUUUCCAACAUGACUUCUAGCAGACGUGGUCUCCUCAGCUUGUUGCUGUUUGUUCUCUGGAUCAAAGGUGGGACUGAUGGAAGUGAUGUCAGCCAGACCUCCAUGCUGUGGAUCAAUGAGGGUCAAGAUGCAACCAUGAACUGCAGCCACACAAAGGGUGGUUCAUAUUUCCAGAUGUACUGGUACAGACAGCUGCCUGGAAAAACCAUGGAGCUGAUCGUCUUCACGUCUACAACUCAGAGGAAUGGAGAACAUGACUUUGGAUCUUUCAGCAAAGAGAAGUUCUCAGCCACUAAGACAGAAGCUGAGAGAGGAACAUUCACAGUGAAGGAGGUGCAGCCUGAAGAUAAAGGCUUGUAUUUCUGUGCUGUGAGUCAACACAGUGAUACAAACCAAUGAGAGAGCUGAACAAAAACCUCUGAGCUGAAACCAUCUGUGUUUCUUCUAUUCCUCACUUAGUCUAGUUUGUGGUUUCUGGGUUUAGAAAAACAUAAAU